UGGUGUUUAAUCCCGGGGCUCAACCCCGGAUCGCACUGGAAACUGGGUGACUUGAGUGCAGAAGAGGAGAGUGGAAUUCCACGUGUAGCGGUGAAAUGCUAUAGAUAUGUGGAGGAACACCAGUGGCGAAGGCGACUCUCUGGGCUGUAACUGACGCUGAGGCGCGAAAGCGUGGGGAGCAAACAGGAUUAGAUACCCUGGUAGUCCACGCCGUAAACGAUGAGUGCUAGGUGUUAGGGGUUUCGAUACCCUUGGUGCCGAAGUUAACACAUUAAGCACUCCGCCUGGGGAGUACGGUCGCAAGACUGAAACUCAAAGGAAUUGACGGGGACCCGCACAAGCAGUGGAGUAUGUGGUUUAAUUCGAAGCAACGCGAAGAACCUUACCAGGUCUUGACAUCCCUCUGACCGGUACAGAGAUGUACCUUUCCUUCGGGACAGAGGAGACAGGUGGUGCAUGGUUGUCGUCAGCUCGUGUCGUGAGAUGUUGGGUUAAGUCCCGCAACGAGCGCAACCCUUGAUCUUAGUUGCCAGCACUUCGGAUGGGCACUCUAAGGUGACUGCCGGUGACAAACCGGAGGAAGGUGGGGAUGACGUCAAAUCAUCAUGCCCCUUAUGACCUGGGCUACACACGUACUACAAUGGCCGGUACAACGGGCAGUGAAACCGCGAGGUGGAACGAAUCCUAAAAAGCCGGUCUCAGUUCGGAUUGCAGGCUGCAACUCGCCUGCAUGAAGUCGGAAUUGCUAGUAAUCGCGGAUCAGCAUGCCCGGGUGGAAUACGUUCCCCGGGUCUUGUACACACCGCCCGUCAC
RNAcentral lists this ribosomal RNA (813 nucleotides) under Paenibacillus sp. 105.11F. Its description in RNAcentral is "bacterial SSU rRNA". It matches the Rfam family "Bacterial small subunit ribosomal RNA", at positions 590 to 1400 of the family's 1533-position model. Lineage: Bacteria; Bacillati; Bacillota; Bacilli; Caryophanales; Paenibacillaceae. The record is from RNAcentral.